GAUGAACGCUGGCGGCGUGCCUAAUACAUGCAAGUCGAACGAGGUGCUUUUGUAGCAAUACGAGAGUAUCCUAGUGGCGAACGGGUGAGUAACGCGUGGAUGACCUGCCCCAAAGUGUGGGAUAACAGUCCGAAAGGAUUGCUAAUACCUCAUGUGGUUAUCGGUUUUAGAAAGCGAUAACUAAAGCAGCAAUGCGCUUUGGGAGGGAUCUGCGUCUCAUCAGCUAGUUGGUGAGGUAACGGCUCACCAAGGCGACGACGGGUAGGGGACCUGAGAGGGUGGCCCCCCANAAUGGAACUGAAACACGGUCCAUACACCUACGGGUGGCAGCGGUAGGGAAUAUUGCUCAAUGGGCGAAGGCCUGAAGCAGCAACGCCGCGUGUGCGAUGAAGGCCUUGGUCGUAAGCACUUUCUAAGAGAUGAGAAAGGACAGUAUCUUAGGAAUAAGUCUCGGCUAACCACGUGCCAGCAGCCGCGGUAA
This 481-nucleotide ribosomal RNA is filed under the name uncultured bacterium. RNAcentral's name for it is "bacterial SSU rRNA". It matches the Rfam family "Bacterial small subunit ribosomal RNA", at positions 28 to 523 of the family's 1533-position model. The record is from RNAcentral.